UACGAAGGGUGCAAGCGUUACUCGGAAUUACUGGGCGUAAAGCGUGCGUAGGUGGUGAGUUAAGUCUGGUGUGAAAUCCCCGGGCUCAACCUGGGAAUGGCAUUGGAUACUGGCUCGCUGGAGUGCGGUAGAGGGUGGUGGAAUUCCCGGUGUAGCAGUGAAAUGCGUAGAGAUCGGGAGGAACAUCUGUGGCGAAGGCGGCCACCUGGACCAGCACUGACACUGAGGCACGAAAGCGUGGGGAGCAAACAGG
RNAcentral lists this ribosomal RNA (253 nucleotides) under uncultured bacterium. RNAcentral describes it as "partial 16S ribosomal RNA". It matches the Rfam family "Bacterial small subunit ribosomal RNA", at positions 524 to 776 of the family's 1533-position model. The record is from RNAcentral.